UCCGUAGGGCGCAAGCGUUAUCCGGAAUUAUUGGGCGUAAAGAGCUCGUAGGCGGUUUGUCGCGUCUGCCGUGAAAGUCCGGGUCUCAACUCCGGAUCUGCGGUGGGUACGGGCAGACUAGAGUGAUGUAGGGGAGACUGGAAUUCCUGGUGUAGCGGUGAAAUGCGCAGAUAUCAGGAGGAACACCGAUGGCGAAGGCAGGUCUCUGGGCAUUAACUGACGCUGAGGAGCGAAAGCAUGGGGAGCGAACAGG
RNAcentral lists this ribosomal RNA (253 nucleotides) under uncultured bacterium. RNAcentral's name for it is "partial 16S ribosomal RNA". It matches the Rfam family "Bacterial small subunit ribosomal RNA", at positions 524 to 776 of the family's 1533-position model. The record is from RNAcentral.